This 465-nucleotide long non-coding RNA is filed under the name Physcomitrium patens. RNAcentral describes it as "long non-coding RNA (PPAT_LNC009710)". Lineage: Eukaryota; Viridiplantae; Streptophyta; Bryopsida; Funariales; Funariaceae. The record is from RNAcentral.
AAGAUUUGGUUAAGGUCAAAUUAUGGUUUUAAUUAGGAUUUGAUUUAUAAUUUGGUUAAGAUUUGAUUAAGAUUUUAAUUAAGAUUUUAAUUUUUAAUAUUUCUUUAGGAUUAUUUUUUUUUAAUUUUUUGACUUCUUUUAAAUUUUUUUUUGAUAGGUUAAAGAUUAAUUGGAUUUAUUAGGAAUUACUUGAAUUUUAUUUAAGGCUCUAUUAUACUUAGUAGAAUUAUUGUUGCAUUUUUAUUUAUCUUUAACAGCUAGGUACUUGGUGUAUUUUGAAGCAAGAAUAUACAUAAUACAAUAGUGGAGAGCUGAGUCAUUUACAAAAUAUUAUAGUAUUAUUGUUAAACAAACUCUCAAGAGAAGAAAUUGAAAGCCUAGAGUUUUAUAACUAGAAAAAUGAUUGGACGCAUAUUAAUUUUAUUUAAAGAGUGUAUACUCUAAAAGAAGAUAGAACUUUAAAAC